This 585-nucleotide ribosomal RNA is filed under the name uncultured Nitrosospira sp. Its description in RNAcentral is "bacterial SSU rRNA". It matches the Rfam family "Bacterial small subunit ribosomal RNA", at positions 338 to 916 of the family's 1533-position model. Lineage: Bacteria; Pseudomonadati; Pseudomonadota; Betaproteobacteria; Nitrosomonadales; Nitrosomonadaceae. The record is from RNAcentral.
CCUACGGGAGGCAGCAGUGGGGAAUUUUGGACAAUGGGGGCAACCCUGAUCCAGCCAUGCCGCGUGAGUGAAGAAGGCCUUCGGGUUGUAAAGCUCUUUCAGCCGGAACGAAACGGUUACGGUUAAUACCCGUAACUACUGACGGUACCGGAAGAAGAAGCACCGGCUAACUACGUGCCAGCAGCCGCGGUAAUACGUAGGGUGCGAGCGUUAAUCGGAAUUACUGGGCGUAAAGCGUGCGCAGGUGGUUUUGUAAGUCAGAUGUGAAAUCCCCGGGCUUAACCUGGGAACUGCGUUUGAAACUACAAGGCUAGGGUGUGGCAGAGGGGGGUGGAAUUCCGCGUGUAGCAGUGAAAUGCGUAGAGAUGUGGAGGAACACCGAUGGCGAAGGCAGCCCCCUGGGUCAACACUGACGCUCAGGCACGAAAGCAUGGGGAGCAAACAGGAUUAGAUACCCUGGUAGUCCAUGCCCUAAACGAUGUCAACUAGUUGUCGGGUCUUAACGGGCUUGGUAACGUAGCUAACGCGUGAAGUUGACCGCCUGGGGAGUACGAUCGCAAGAUUAAAACUCAAAGGAAUUGACGG